AAGAAAUGUUUUCUCCUACAUGGUUUUUCUCCGGGUUUUGGCAAAGGCAGAGGAAAGGCACCUCAAGCUACUGCUCAUUCUGGAAAUGCAGCCUCUAAUCAACAUAAAUCUGUUAAUUUUGUGGAGGAGACAGUAUCUGCUUAUCCUUUGCCCUUGUCUUCAUCUGCUGCAUCUGCUGUUGUGAAUCUCCCAAGUAUUGAUCAAUAUCAACAGCUUAUCAGUCUUUUGCAGAGCCAACACCUCCAUAACUCCACUUCUUUGGCUAGCAACUCUACCUCUGUCAGUCACUCUCAGCCAUUAAACAAUUUUUCUGAUACAGGAGCAACUCACCAUGUUUGCUUUGAUCAAUCUCUCUUUUCCUCUUCCUCUCCAAUAGCUAAUGCAUCUGUCAACCUCCCAAAUGGCCAUACUGCUCCUUGUUACUCACCUAGGUACUGUCCAACUCACUUCUCUCAUCACACUCUCUUCCAUUCUUCAUGUGCCAUCCUUCUCAUUUAACCUAAUAUCUGUUAGUGCUCUCACUCAACACACUUCUUGCACUGUUGUAUUUACUCACAAUAGCUUCAAAAUUCAGGAAGCUAUACUGGGGACUGUGAUUGGGAGGGGUAACCAUGUUGGCAACUUAUACAUCUUUGAGUUCCCUGAUUCACCAAGUAAUGCAGUAAGCAGUUUUCCUUCUACUUCUCAGAAUAAUGUAUCUGCCAUUUCUCAUGAUGUUUCUGUUAACUCAGUUGUAAGUCUUGAUGUUUGGCACCAACGCUUGGGCCAUCCUUCUCUGAAUAAACUCAAAGUUUUGUCUAAA
This is a non-coding RNA of Salvia hispanica, 802 nucleotides long. Lineage: Eukaryota; Viridiplantae; Streptophyta; Magnoliopsida; Lamiales; Lamiaceae. The record is from RefSeq and is a predicted model, not a curated record.